This 497-nucleotide ribosomal RNA is filed under the name uncultured bacterium. RNAcentral describes it as "partial 16S ribosomal RNA". It matches the Rfam family "Bacterial small subunit ribosomal RNA", at positions 28 to 507 of the family's 1533-position model. The record is from RNAcentral.
GAUGAACGCUGGCGGCGUGCCUAAUACAUGCAAGUCGAGCGAACGGACGAGAAGCUUGCUUCUCUGAUGUUAGCGGCGGACGGGUGAGUAACACGUGGAUAACCUACCUAUAAGACUGGGAUAACUUCGGGAAACCGUAGCUAAUACCGGAUAAUAUUUUGAACCGCAUGGUUCAAAAGUGAAAGACGGUCUUGCUGUCACUUAUAGAUGGAUCCGCGCUGCAUUAGCUAGUUGGUAAGGUAACGGCUUACCAAGGCAACGAUGCAUAGCCGACCUGAGAGGGUGAUCGGCCACACUGGAACUGAGACGCGGUCCAGACUCCGACGGGAGGCAGAAGUAGGGAAUCUUCCGCAAUGGGCGAAAGCCUGACGGAGCAACGCCGCGUGAGUGAUGAAGGUCUUCGGAUCGUAAAACUCUGUUAUUAGGGAAGAACAUAUGUGUAAGUAACUGUGCACAUCUUGACGGUACCUAAUCAGAAAGCCACGGCUAACUACGUG